UUAAGCCAUGCAUGUCUAAGUAUAAGCAAUUAUACAGCGAAACUGCGAAUGGCUCAUUAUAUAAGUUAUCGUUUAUUUGAUAGUACCUUACUACUUGGAUAACCGUGGUAAUUCUAGAGCUAAUACAUGCUAAAAAUCCCGACUUCGGAAGGGAUGUAUUUAUUAGAUUAAAAACCAAUGCCCUCUGGGCUCCUUGGUGAUUCAUAAUAACUUUUCGAAUCGCAUGGCCUUGCGCCGGCGAUGGUUCAUUCAAAUUUCUUCCCUAUCAACUUUCGAUGUUUGGGUAUUGGCCAAACAUGGUCGCAACGGGUAACGGAGGGUUAGGGCUCGACCCCGGAGAAGGAGCCUGAGAAACGGCUACUACAUCCAAGGAAGGCAGCAGGCGCGCAAAUUACCCAAUCCCGAUUCGGGGAGGUAGUGACAAUAAAUACUGAUACAGGGCUCUUUUGGGUCUUGUAAUUGGAAUGAGUACAAUUUAAAUCCCUUAACGAGGAACAAUUGGAGGGCAAGUCUGGUGCCAGCAGCCGCGGUAAUUCCAGCUCCAAUAGCGUAUAUUAAAGUUGUUGUGGUUAAAAAGCUCGUAGUUGAACCUUGGGCCUGGCUGGCCGGUCCGCCUCACCGCGUGUACUGGUCCGGCCGGGCCUUUCCCUCUGUGGAACCUCAUGCCCUUCACUGGGUGUGGCGGGGAAACAGGACUUUUACUUUGAAAAAAUUAGAGUGCUCCAGGCAGGCCUAUGCUCGAAUACAUUAGCAUGGAAUAAUGAAAUAGGACGUGUGGUUCUAUUUUGUUGGUUUCUAGGACCGCCGUAAUGAUUAAUAGGGACAGUCGGGGGCAUCAGUAUUCAAUUGUCAGAGGUGAAAUUCUUGGAUUUAUUGAAGACUAACUACUGCGAAAGCAUUUGCCAAGGAUGUUUUCAUUAAUCAGGAACGAAAGUUAGGGGAUCGAAGACGAUCAGAUACCGUCGUAGUCUUAACCAUAAACUAUGCCGACUAGGGAUCGGACGAUGUUAUUUUUUGACGCGUUCGGCACCUUACGAGAAAUCAAAGUGCUU
Molecule: ribosomal RNA, 1052 nt
Filed under: Samsoniella yunnanensis
Lineage: Eukaryota; Fungi; Ascomycota; Sordariomycetes; Hypocreales; Cordycipitaceae
Description: SSU rRNA
Rfam family: Eukaryotic small subunit ribosomal RNA
Source: RNAcentral